UAAGUUCUUGAAGAGGUCGUUCUUAAUGUUGGCCCAAAUGAGAGGGCAACGUCUUUGCAAAGAUAAGACGGGAUGGCUGCCCACGAAAAUGUCUUUGAAGGAUGAUGUUCAUUCAGAUAUAAAAGUUCCCAGAGUAGACACAUCAGGGUCAGUCCUCACAUGUGACUUUUUGGAGCCCCCAUUAAGCCAUCUUGCCCACUGUCGGGGCAUCCUGUUGCUGUAACUGUGAGUGCUACUGGCAGAAGCUAGAGUGGUGUCCAGGCCAACUGUUCCUGGCUUAGUUUAGUUGAAGGAAAAAAA
This 300-nucleotide long non-coding RNA is filed under the name Bos taurus (domestic cattle). Its description in RNAcentral is "long non-coding RNA NONBTAT000653". The record is from RNAcentral. Lineage: Eukaryota; Metazoa; Chordata; Mammalia; Artiodactyla; Bovidae.